UACGGGGGGGGCAAGCGUUGUUCGGAAUUACUGGGCGUAAAGGGUUCGUAGGUGGCCACUUAAGUCAGACGUGAAAUCCCUCAGCUUAACUGGGGAACUGCGUCUGAUACUGAGUGGCUUGAGUGCAGGAGAGGAAUGCGGAAUUCCAGGUGUAGCGGUGAAAUGCGUAGAUAUCUGGAGGAACACCGGUGGCGAAGGCGGCAUUCUGGACUGUAACUGACACUGAGGAGCGAAAGCGAGGGGAGCAAACGGG
RNAcentral lists this ribosomal RNA (253 nucleotides) under uncultured bacterium. Its description in RNAcentral is "partial 16S ribosomal RNA". It matches the Rfam family "Bacterial small subunit ribosomal RNA", at positions 524 to 776 of the family's 1533-position model. The record is from RNAcentral.